UACAGAGGGUGCGAGCGUUAAUCGGAAUUACUGGGCGUAAAGCGCGCGUAGGUGGUUUUGCAAGUCGAGUGUGAAAGCCCCGGGCUCAACCUGGGAACUGCAUUCGAGACUGCAUUACUCGAGUAUGGGAGAGGGCAGUGGAAUUUCCGGUGUAGCGGUGAAAUGCGUAGAUAUCGGAAGGAACAUCAGUGGCGAAAGCGACUGCCUGGCCCAAUACUGACACUCAAGUGCGAAAGCGUGGGGAGCAAACAGG
Molecule: ribosomal RNA, 253 nt
Filed under: uncultured bacterium
Lineage: Bacteria
Description: partial 16S ribosomal RNA
Rfam family: Bacterial small subunit ribosomal RNA
Source: RNAcentral